UCAGGAUGAACGCUAGCUACAGGCUUAACACAUGCAAGUCGAGGGGCAGCAUGUGGUUGCUUGCAACCAAUGAUGGCGACCGGCGCACGGGUGAGUAACGCGUAUCCAACUUCCCCUUAGUAGAGGAUAGCCCGGCGAAAGUCGGAUUAAUACUCUAUGUUGUAUUUUGAUGACAUCUGACGAAUACCAAAGAUUUAUCGCUAAGGGAUGGGGAUGCGUCUGAUUAGGUUGCAGGCGGGGUAACGGCCCACCUGGCCUACGAUCAGUAGGGGUUCUGAGAGGAAGGUCCCCCACACUGGUACUGAGACACGGACCAGACUCCUACGGGAGGCAGCAGUGAGGAAUAUUGGUCAAUGGGCGCGAGCCUGAACCAGCCAAGUAGCGUGCCAGGACGACUGCCCUAUGGGUUGUAAACUGCUUUUAUCAGGGAAUAAAGUGAGGCACGCGUGCCUUUUUGUAUGUACCUGGUGAAUAAGGACCGGCUAAUUCCGUGCCAGCAGCGGC
RNAcentral lists this ribosomal RNA (504 nucleotides) under uncultured bacterium. Its description in RNAcentral is "bacterial SSU rRNA". It matches the Rfam family "Bacterial small subunit ribosomal RNA", at positions 24 to 518 of the family's 1533-position model. The record is from RNAcentral.